This 209-nucleotide long non-coding RNA is filed under the name Elaeis guineensis (African oil palm). RNAcentral describes it as "long non-coding RNA (EGUI_LNC031803)". The record is from RNAcentral. Lineage: Eukaryota; Viridiplantae; Streptophyta; Magnoliopsida; Arecales; Arecaceae.
CCUUUUAUAGAUAAUUCUGAUGGAACCGUCGAGCACGCGGUCCCGCUUGUUAUGGCACUAAAUUAUUGGAUCAUUAUUGUAGUGUUAGUGGAUCAUUAAUUCUCACUAAUUAUUGUGACACAUAGUUAUCAAUCAUUUACAACAGUUACAGUAUGUUGAGCAGAUUGACCGACUAUAUAUCGGUAGUAUUGAUAUAUAAGUAAAAGAUC